This is a non-coding RNA of Mus caroli (Ryukyu mouse), 527 nucleotides long. The record is from the annotation of a RefSeq genome assembly. NCBI's taxonomy places the organism in Eukaryota, Metazoa, Chordata, Mammalia, Rodentia, Muridae.
UUAGGAAGCAAAACCUGGUUGUUUUCACCAUGACUUGGGCUCCACUGCUCCUUGCCUUUCUUCAUCACUUAACAGGGUCAUGUGCCCAGUUUGUGCUUACUCAGCCAAGCUCUGUAUCUACGUCUCUAGGAAGCACAGUCAAACUGACUUGCAAGCGCAGCACUGGUAACAUUGAAAGCUCCUAUGUGCACUGGUACCAGCAACACAUGGGAAGAUCUCCCACCAAUAUGAUCUAUAAAGAUGAUCAGCGACCAUCUGGAGUUUCUGAUAGGUUCUCUGGCUCCAUUGACAGCUCUUCCAACUCAGCCUUCCUGACAAUCAAUAAUGUGCAGGCUGAUGAUGAGGCUGACUACUACUGUCAGUCUUCUAGUAGUAGUGUUCAUCACAGUGAUGUAAAACACGGAGGAAGUAAGAAAAAACCUCCCCAGAGCACAAGCUGUGAACUCAAUUGUGAAAAGAACUAUUGGUGUUUCAUGUCUUCAUUAGAAGCACUGCUACUGGGUUUUCCAAGUCAUACAUUCCUCUAG